GCGCCCGUAGCUCAGCUGGAUAGAGUACUACCCUCCGAAGGUAGGGGUCACAGGUUCGAAUCCUGUCGGGCGCGCCA
Molecule: transfer RNA, 77 nt
Filed under: Rehaibacterium terrae
Lineage: Bacteria; Pseudomonadati; Pseudomonadota; Gammaproteobacteria; Lysobacterales; Lysobacteraceae
Also listed under: 4 other names
Description: tRNA-Arg
Rfam family: tRNA
About the family: Transfer RNA (tRNA) molecules are approximately 80 nucleotides in length. Their secondary structure includes four short double-helical elements and three loops (D, anti-codon, and T loops). Further hydrogen bonds mediate the characteristic L-shaped molecular structure. tRNAs have two regions of fundamental functional importance: the anti-codon, which is responsible for specific mRNA codon recognition, and the 3' end, to which the tRNAs corresponding amino acid is attached (by aminoacyl-tRNA synthetases). tRNAs cope with the degeneracy of the genetic code in two manners: having more than one tRNA (with a specific anti-codon) for a particular amino acid; and 'wobble' base-pairing, i.e. permitting non-standard base-pairing at the 3rd anti-codon position.
Source: RNAcentral